GUGUCAGCCGCCGCGGUACUACGUAGGGUGCAAGCGUUGUCCGGAAUUAUUGGGCGUAAAGAGCUCGUAGGCGGUCUGUCGCGUCGGCUGUGAAAACCCGAGGCUCAACCUCGGGCCUGCAGUCGAUACGGGCAAACUAGAGUACUGCAGGGGAGACUGGAAUUCCUGGUGUAGCGGUGAAAUGCGCAGAUAUCAGGAGGAACACCGGUGGCGAAGGCGGGUCUCUGGGCAGUAACUGACGCUGAGGAGCGAAAGCGUGUGGAGCGAACAGGAUUAGAUACCCUGGUAGUCCACGCCGUAAACGUUGGGCGCUAGGUGUGGUGGCCAUUCCACGGUCUCCGUGCCGCAGCUAACGCAUUAAGCGCCCCGCCUGGGGAGUACGGCCGCAAGGCUAAAACUCAAAGGAAUUGACGGGG
RNAcentral lists this ribosomal RNA (416 nucleotides) under uncultured prokaryote. RNAcentral describes it as "bacterial SSU rRNA". It matches the Rfam family "Bacterial small subunit ribosomal RNA", at positions 505 to 918 of the family's 1533-position model. The record is from RNAcentral.